RNAcentral lists this unclassified non-coding RNA (2485 nucleotides) under Hevea brasiliensis (rubber tree). The record is from RNAcentral. Lineage: Eukaryota; Viridiplantae; Streptophyta; Magnoliopsida; Malpighiales; Euphorbiaceae.
CAGGUGGAAUUGAGAGACCGAUAAACUUAAUCGUAUUAAUUACACCUGAAAUAGUGAAAGCUGAAACAAGACCGCUUAAGAAAACUCACCAAAACCUAUUUAUAAGUAAAUAAAAUAAUUUUUUAUUCAGGUUAUAUAUUUAAAAAAAUUAUUUAAAAUAAAGUGUAAGUUAUAUGGAAGAUGUUUUUAUUAUUAUUUAUUUUAAAAUUACCCUUUAACUAAAUAAAAUAUUAUAUUAUUUUAAUGACUUAAAAAUAUUAUCACUGUUCUCAUUUUAGUAAAUUCUAUCACAACUUUUUUUAAUAUUUUGAUCAAAAUACUUAAAUUGUUUAAAAGUUAACUUUUAAAUAAUUUUCAUAAAUAUUCAAUUACUUAUUUUUUAAAUUAAUUUGUAAUUAUUAAGGGUAUAAGUUAAAAGUUAACAUUCAAACACUUUAGUUACAAAUGCAAAUGCAAGGUAAAUGCAAUAAACUCAACAAAAGUGGGUCUCAAGGCCUCAUCGGCUGAAUCCUGUAGGUUGUGCAGGAGGCUGUAUUUUUCUGAGAAAUGAUGCGAUGGUGGAUGGGUAUUGUCGUGGCCAGUUGCAUUUUCUUAUCCCUGUACGUCAGGAGGAAGUUACUACCAGGAUAAUGCUAUGAACCAGGACAUUGAAGGACUAGAAUAAGCGUGAGCUUGCAUGAAUAACGAGACUGCUUCAUAAUUUAGUAACGAAGUGGUAGGACCCAUCUAACUUAAGCAUUUGGCGACCAAGCAAGUGUUAGGGAAAGGACGAAGGGAGAGAGGAGAACAGGGUGACAAAGCCGUAUUUCCUAUUAAUUUAUACUAGCUUGUAAAGUAACACUGAAUUUGUUAGAAGGAAAUGUCAAAAGUAUCAAUCAAAAACAGAAACUGAACAAACUCUUUGAAAAAAAUCCUAACUAGAAGCCACAAAGCUUUAACUGGAUAAAGGAGUGCUGGAAGUGGGGUUAGGCUGCCUUCCACACCAAUGGUAGGUCGAGACCACAAUAAAGCUGACUCAUAUUCAGAAGCAACUGAUAAGCGCAAUUUAAUAAAUUUGUGUUGCUCACAUCUAAUUCGCAUAUAAUCAUAUCGACAAUGUUAUACAACGUGGUAAUGACGCAGUAGUUACUAAGAAAAGCGAGCACUGAGUUUAGUAAUUAUACUAAUCAGCAUGAACUAGUCUAGUCUCACUAAUUCAUAUUCCUCGCAUGUGAAAGCAUGAAAUAACAUAUAUAUAUAUAUAUCAUACGCUGGUGCGAUUCUAGUGGAGCAGCUGCACGCAGCAUGGGUAGACGCUACUCUCCAUACCUUUUCUUCUGCUCAUUUCUGUUGUGCUCUUCCUGCAUGGUGGCAUCCAGGCACUUGGGAUCUUCAAGUAGCAGGAAAAUUCUGCUCGACAAUGGCCUUGGUCUCACUCCCCCUAUGGGGUGGAACAGUUGGAAUCAUUUCCACUGCCAGAUAAAUGAGAAGAUUGUUAAAGAAACAGCUGACGCUUUAGUCUCAACUGGGCUAGCACAGCUUGGAUACGUCUACGUCAACAUAGGGCAAUCUUGUGGCCAACAAGACUACAUUCCCUUCUGGGAUUAAAGCUCUUGCAGAUUAUGUGCAUAGCAAGGGCCUGAAAUUAGGAAUCUAUGCUGAUGCAGGGCUCAAAACAUGUACGGGAAAAGUGGCAGGCUCACUCGGGCGUGAAGAGCAAGAUGCCAAAACAUUUGCUUCAUGGGGAGUUGACUACUUGAAGUAUGAUAAUUGUUACAACAACGAUGAGAAACCAACCACUAGAUACAAAGCCAUGUCUGUUGCUCUGAAGAAGACGGGGCGCCCCAUUUUUUUCUCUAUGUGUGAAUGGGGGGAUAUGCGUCCAGCUCUAUGGGGAGCAGAUGUUGGGAAUAGCUGGAGAACUACUGAUGACAUUUCAGACUCAUGGGAGAGUAUGCUUAAGGUCGCUGACGUGAAUGAGAUGUAUGCUGAUUACGCUAAACCUGGUGGUUGGAAUGACCCAGAUAUGCUAGAAGUGGGAAAUGGAGGAAUGAAGUAUAGUGAAUACGUGGUGCAUUUUAGCAUAUGGGGUAUCUCUAAGGCACCACUCCUUUUAGGCUGCGAUGUACGAUCGUUGAGCAACGAGACUAUGCAGAUUAUCAGCAACGAGGAGGUGAUUGCUAUUAAUCAAGAUUCUUUGGGUGCUCAAGCCAGAAAAGUAAGAAUGGAAGGACAGCGAGAUAUAUGGGCUGGACCUCUAUCUGGGGAUAGAGUAGUACUUCUAUUUGUAAACAGAAAGCCGUGGAAAUCUUCAAUGACAGCCCAUUGGGACGACAUCGGUAUCGAGCCGACUAAUAGAGCUGUUGAAGCAAGAGAUGUAUGGGAGCGUCGUACCCUCUCAGAGCCAUUUCAAGACAAACUAACAGCGGAUGUGGACCCUCAUGCCUGCAAGCUCUAUGUUCUAACCUCAAUCCCAUAGCUCUUUUCCUUUUCUUUUCUUUUCUUU